This 336-nucleotide long non-coding RNA is filed under the name Elaeis guineensis (African oil palm). RNAcentral describes it as "long non-coding RNA (EGUI_LNC001938)". Lineage: Eukaryota; Viridiplantae; Streptophyta; Magnoliopsida; Arecales; Arecaceae. The record is from RNAcentral.
UGACAUGCACGGAAUGUGAAGUCCACGGCUGCCGCGCUCAGGGCCGAGGCCUGCUUGUUCUCCUCCGCGUCAUCGACAUGCACGAACUAUAAAGUCCGCGCGUCCCGCGGCGGGGGUGAAGAUUCGGAAAUGCCGUAACGAGCGGACUGUUAAGAAAGGACAAAAGGCGGUUCCGUUCCGUUCCCUAGGAUGCUGAUUCGUUGCUUCGAAUCAAUGGCCGAGAUCGAGAGACGGGAAAUUGGACGGCUACCGAUGGUGUAGCGUACGAGUCGGUGGUCCAAAAAUGGGAUACAGGUGGUUGGUGAUUAAAGAAAUUAAUGACUUUGUUAAUAGGGG